CUACGGGAUGCUGCAGUGGGGAAUAUUGCACAAUGGGCGCAAGCCUGAUGCAGCAACGCCGCGUGAACGAAGAAGGUUUUCGGAUCGUAAAGUUCUUUUCUUAGGGAAGAAACCAUGACGGUACCUAAGGAAUAAGCACCGGCUAACUACGUGCCAGCAGCCGCGGUAAUACGUAGGGUGCAAGCGUUAUCCGGAAUCACUGGGCGUAAAGGGUGCGUAGGCGGUCUGACAAGUCAGGAGUGAAAGGCAGUGGCUCAACCAUUGUAAGCUUUUGAAACUGUCGGACUUGAAUGCAGGAGGGGCAAGUGGAAUUCCUAGUGUAGCGGUGACAUGCGUAGAUAUUAGGAGGAACACCAGUGGCGAAGGCGACUUGCUGGACUGUAAUUGACGCUGAGGCACGAAAGCGUGGGGAGCAAACAGGAUUAGAUACCCCCGUAGUC
This 440-nucleotide ribosomal RNA is filed under the name uncultured bacterium. RNAcentral describes it as "partial 16S ribosomal RNA". It matches the Rfam family "Bacterial small subunit ribosomal RNA", at positions 339 to 795 of the family's 1533-position model. The record is from RNAcentral.